UGUAAAUUGCAAAUGAACGACCAAACGCGAAAAUGUGAAAUAAGUAAAUGCGGACCGAAGUAAACACAAGUAGGAGUUGUGAUUAACUUUAGCCAGAUUACGGAGAUGAUGGUUUGUUUCACGUAACCUAAAACUAAACGAGCGCGGUGCUAAAUGGUUAAGUAAAAACAAAAGCAAAAAGAAACCGUUAAUUAUUGAAGGAUCGAGAGCCCAUUACUGUUUAAAUUUCUGGGUGGAAAAGUUCAAUUCUUGUCCAUAAGACAUGGAAAUAUUGGGUUGCGCUUGCGACCCAUGAGAAGAGCAAGGGAUGGCAAUUUAUGGCAUCAUAAUGUUGCAUAUCGGAGACGUCGUAGCACUACCUGAAGAGGAUACUGCCAUACUUUGUUAUUUUCGCGUGCCCGUAAAGCGAAUGAGCCACUGAAUGGGCGACGAAACCUUCUGCUACUGCAGCCGAUCUACAGCCACCGAACUGUUUUAAGUUGAAGAACUCCACCAGCACUUGCUAAUAUUGUAGCGAUGAGAUGCCAAAAACAAUGUCCGGGCUAUCGUAUUGGAACAGGUGUUUAGUGACUACCUGAUUGGAUCUGGAG
This is a long non-coding RNA of Photinus pyralis (common eastern firefly), 590 nucleotides long. RefSeq lists it as uncharacterized. Lineage: Eukaryota; Metazoa; Arthropoda; Insecta; Coleoptera; Lampyridae. The record is from RefSeq and is a predicted model, not a curated record. The transcript has 3 exons.